CAGUUCGUGGAAUGAUGUACUAUAGAAGGGCUUUGAAGCUUCAGGCUUUCCUUGACAUGGCUUCUGAAAGUGGUAAUG
Molecule: small nucleolar RNA, 78 nt
Filed under: Amborella trichopoda
Lineage: Eukaryota; Viridiplantae; Streptophyta; Magnoliopsida; Amborellales; Amborellaceae
Description: snoRNA snoJ33
Rfam family: Small nucleolar RNA J33
About the family: J33 is a member of the C/D class of snoRNA which contain the C (UGAUGA) and D (CUGA) box motifs. Most of the members of the box C/D family function in directing site-specific 2'-O-methylation of substrate RNAs.
Source: Rfam by way of RNAcentral